ACAGGUCUGUCCUGCCAGGUCAGGCUGUUGUCAUAGUUGAUAAAUCGGUUGUCCCAGCACCAUCUCUCCUGCGUCUCUGAGGCACCCCCUGUCUACACAGCUUUCUUCUUUCUGAGGAUGACACAUUCAUUUACCUCCCCAGCUUCUGCCGCUCCCUCAGCUGUGAGGGAGCAAGUGAAAUCUUUGGAGUCUGAGUUCAAAGCAAGAGUGCCAGUUACAAGUUCGUUGGUAGUGCAUGCUUCUGACCAGUGUUUGUACACACGCUGGCAUGGAGAUCAGCAGGAGGCAGGCUGUUUCAGCCUCUACCCCAGUGCUUAUUCAGACAUCUCUAGAGGCCGUUCCUCCACUCUGCCGUUUAGCAGGAAUUCUAGCACCUACGCUCACAGGUUUGGGUUUUCUACACUAGGAGUAGAAGCCAGGCAUCAGAGUCUGACAAUCACUGAUAAUUGUGAUGUGUGCCUUCAAUAAAAAUAAAAACAAACAAACAAAACAAA
Molecule: long non-coding RNA, 494 nt
Filed under: Rattus norvegicus (Norway rat)
Lineage: Eukaryota; Metazoa; Chordata; Mammalia; Rodentia; Muridae
Description: long non-coding RNA NONRATT022645
Source: RNAcentral